Molecule: long non-coding RNA, 1819 nt
Filed under: Homo sapiens (human)
Lineage: Eukaryota; Metazoa; Chordata; Mammalia; Primates; Hominidae
Description: HSALNT0393710
Source: RNAcentral
ACACAUCUAACCACUCUUCAGCUGAUAUCCACUUGCUGACAAAUGAAUCUCUCUGGCCCCUGGACUGUGCCCUGAAACACAGCUUAAAACAAAUGAACAGUAAUCCCAGAGAUCCUGAGAUGAGAAAAGGGUGUUUGACUUAUUCAAAGAAGACCAAGGAAGCCCAAAGACCAGAGAAGAGUGCAGGAAAGGGGCGGCGGUCUGAGAUGCAGUCAGAGCAGUGGCAAGCCCCCAGAGUCUGUGGCAAAGACUUCAGGUUUCAUCCUGAAGAGGAAGACAGGUCUUUGGAGAGUUUUGAUCAAGGAAGUGAGAUGAAAUAUCUUAGGCUUACAAAGAACUACUCUGACAUCUAAAUGGAAAAUGGACUGAUGAAGCAAAAGAAGCCACAAGGAAGCCAGUUCAGAGGCUAUUGAAAUGCUCCAGAGGAACAGCGGUUUAUUGAAAGGAAAGCAAAUGUCCAGAAGCAAAAACAAACAAACAAAAAACAAACAAACAAACAAAAACAGAAAAAACUUCCCCAAAAGUAAAGAAUCACAGCUUUAUUCAGUAGCUCCUCAAUUAAAAUAGUCAUCUUCUUAAUUGUGCCAUCUUCAGAAGCAGCCAUAUAUACUGUAGUUAAGAGGCACAUGGUGAGAAAUUUGGGGUCCAAUCAAGAUGAUAGGAUUCAUCUACAUGGCAGCCCUCAAAGAUUCUGGAAGAGAAAAAUGGUGAAAAGAUACUCAGAGAGUGAGAGCCUUCAGAUUUGGGUGAGUGAUGCCAUUAGAACCAAGAUUUCUUCCAUUCUUCUGCUCUAUCAUUCUCAGCACAACAUGCUUUUCUCAUUAAGGCCGCUGUGGUUCGUCUUCUGCCUGGGAACUGGAUAAAAACAUCAGUGAAUACCCCAAAGAUUUUCAAAAAUGCUUGUUGAUAAAAUGAAGUCAGAAUGUGAGAUGAGCCCUUCCACCUGAGUGAUGUUGGUCUUGGCUGUGUGAUUUGCUUUGGCUGAUGAUAAGUUGAUGGAAGUGAUAGUAAGACAAUGCUGAGCCUCAUCCUCGGAAGUAUCUCUGCCUUCACCUGGCUUUGUGCACCACUGCCCUGGCUUUGAGAAGAACAUGAGCCCAGUAAAUUGUUAGUCCAGGAAGAAUGAGAGAGAAAGUCCUGAGGCAGAGAAGUGGAGAGAAGUUGCUGCUUGAGCUUGAGAAAGAAUGGUGGCAGAGUACAUGCAUGGAAGUGCUACCAUAGCUGCUCUGAAAUCAGAGGAAAGUGGAAUUAUAAGAAGACCCCAUCUGACAAGGCUCAUAAAGGAGAGCAACUCUUAUGGAAUACAUCCAAGAUAUAUACGUCUUUGAAGAAAGACAUCACUCAACUGUGAAAGAUCACCAUGACCCCUGCUUUAAUUUCAUCAAAAAACUUAGUCCAUCAGCUCAGUUACCCUUUAGCCUUGCAUGGGAAUUGACUCAGAGCUUCUGCAAGAUCAGGCCCUAUAUUAGGUAUUGAGGGUUCAGGGAUGAACUAAGCUGAUCUGGUUCCUGCUCUCUAGGCUGUAGAAGAUGGCAAGUGCUGUGGACUUCAAAGAAAAGAUUUCUGAAGUGUCAUGUUAUGACAAUUGUGAUGCUUCAAACUAUGUUGACUAUUCAUUUACAGCAUAAAGAAGAGUGAGCCACUUUAUCACUGCAGUAAUUAUAUUUUAAAAAUAAAGAAAAUAAAACAAAUGGAGUUUCCCACCCAAUCCAUGGAGACACAGACACGAAGUCUUACUAUAGAUGUGUGGCCAAUCCUUACAUUGCUUUUAUUACAAGCCUGGAAAUGACAAUAAAAUACAUGAACUUGAGAGUAUAUA